Molecule: long non-coding RNA, 826 nt
Filed under: Nicotiana benthamiana
Lineage: Eukaryota; Viridiplantae; Streptophyta; Magnoliopsida; Solanales; Solanaceae
Description: long non-coding RNA (NBEN_LNC003434)
Source: RNAcentral
UUAUUGGAUUCAACAAAUCAAUUAAACAAACCUACUGAAUUAACUACACUUCACACCAAGCUAACUCAAACAACCCAAUUAAUCUAAAAUCAAUCGACAGUCUAAUAUGAAUCAGAACGAUAGAAUCACAGUCCAGCUAAACACAUUCAAAUAGUCCAAACAAUUUCCAGAAGUCAUAAUCAGCGCAGGUCUAUUCAUACAAGUUCCAAAUGAAUUAAACUAUGGAAUACUUUUAAACUAACAGAGAUAGCAGCAAACCCGAACAGCCAUUCAAAUAGCACUUAUUCAUUUAUUCUUCAAACUCAGAUUUAUAUAAUCUUUUCCAAUUCUCAGAAAAGCAGAGGAGAUACAUGGAAAUUGUAACACAAGGAGAAGAGAUUGGAUUAGGAAAUCUGCAGCAACAAUAAUUCAAACAGCAACAGUAGCAAUCAAUUCCCAGCGAAUGAGAACAACGAAAACACCCCCAAGAAUGAACUUCAGAAUUCCCAAGUGUUAUAAACCAAAUAGAAUCGAGAGAUCUACUCAAACAGUUGCGAAAACAGACAAAAUAAACUAGAAAAUAUUCCGAGAAUGCAUUUAACACUUUCAGCGAAACAAAGUUCAAUAAAAAAUCCAACUCAAUUGGACCUAAACUCAUUCAAAAUCAACUCAUAUAUCUAUGAAGUCUCAGCCAUCAACCUUGAACUAAGAGAUGAAGAUCAAAUGCUCAAGACUUGAAAUUAAACUCAAGAUUCAAUGGAACAGUCUAUUUUUGGUUUUUCUAUUUAAUUUCUAUUGCUUUUGGUUUUUCCUUUUUGAAGAAGUUAGGAUCCAAGGGAGCUUCAAA